GGCGGCAGGCCUCAAACAUGCAAGUCUAGGGGGUGUAGCAAUACAUCACCGGCGGACGGGUGCGUAACGCGUGGGAAUAUACCUAUCGGUACGGAACAACUGCGGGAAACUGCAGCUAAUACCGUAUACGUCCUAACGGAGAAAGAAUUUCGCCGAUAGAUUAGCCCGCGUUCGAUUAGCUAGUUGGUGGGGUAACGGCCCACCAAGGCGACGAUCGAUAGCUGUUCUGAGAGGAAGAUCAGCCACACUGGGACUGAGACACGGCCCAGACUCCUACGGGAGGCAGCAGUUGGGAAUCUUGGACAAUGGGGGAAACCCUGAUCCAGCCAUGCCGCGUGAGUGAUGAAGGCCUUCGGGUUGUAAAACUCUUUCGACGGGGACGAUAAUGACGGUACCCGUAGAAGAAGCUCCGGCUAACUUCGUGCCAGCAGCCGCGGUAAUACGAAGGGG
RNAcentral lists this ribosomal RNA (450 nucleotides) under uncultured Alphaproteobacteria bacterium. RNAcentral describes it as "bacterial SSU rRNA". It matches the Rfam family "Bacterial small subunit ribosomal RNA", at positions 38 to 533 of the family's 1533-position model. Lineage: Bacteria; Pseudomonadati; Pseudomonadota; Alphaproteobacteria. The record is from RNAcentral.